ACUCCUACGGGAGGCAGCAGUGAGGAAUAUUGGUCAAUGGACGAGAGUCUGAACCAGCCAAGUAGCGUGAAGGAUGACUGCCCUAUGGGUUGUAAACUUCUUUUAUACGGGAAUAAAGUGAGGCACGUGUGCCUUUUUGUAUGUACCGUAUGAAUAAGGAUCGGCUAA
Molecule: ribosomal RNA, 168 nt
Filed under: uncultured bacterium
Lineage: Bacteria
Description: partial 16S rRNA
Rfam family: Bacterial small subunit ribosomal RNA
Source: RNAcentral